UUACACACCGCCCGUCACAUCACGAAAGNGGGUUGUACUAGAAGUCGUCGCGCCAACCCGUAAGGGGGGCAGGCGCCCACGGUAUGAUCCAUGAUUGGGGUG
RNAcentral lists this ribosomal RNA (102 nucleotides) under uncultured bacterium. Its description in RNAcentral is "partial 16S ribosomal RNA". It matches the Rfam family "Bacterial small subunit ribosomal RNA", at positions 1383 to 1482 of the family's 1533-position model. The record is from RNAcentral.